RNAcentral lists this ribosomal RNA (301 nucleotides) under uncultured bacterium. RNAcentral's name for it is "partial 16S ribosomal RNA". It matches the Rfam family "Bacterial small subunit ribosomal RNA", at positions 509 to 809 of the family's 1533-position model. The record is from RNAcentral.
CAGCAGCCACGGUAAUACGUAGGGUGCAAGCGUUAAUCGGAAUUACUGGGCGUAAAGCGUGCGCAGGCGGUUAUAUAAGACAGAUGUGAAAUCCCCGGGCUCAACCUGGGAACUGCAUUUGUGACUGUAUAGCUAGAGUACGGCAGAGGGGGAUGGAAUUCCGCGUGUAGCAGUGAAAUGCGUAGAUAUGCGGAGGUACACCGAUGGCGAAGGCAAUCCCCUGGGCCUGUACUGACGCUCAUGCACGAAAGCGUGGGGAGCAAACAGGAUUAGAUACCCCCGUAGUCCCUGUCUCUUAUAA